Molecule: long non-coding RNA, 342 nt
Organism: Egretta garzetta (little egret)
Lineage: Eukaryota; Metazoa; Chordata; Aves; Pelecaniformes; Ardeidae
Exons: 3
Source: RefSeq, a predicted model, not a curated record
CUUUUCGUUUGGUUUUGUUGAACUUAACUAUUCUCAAACCCUGACUGCAACCUACUUGGUUGACUGGGGUAAUGGAUGGUCAUAGGAGGUGUCAAGAUUGAAGCAUGCUUGUCAAGCAGCAUAAUGAAGAUGUAAUGGAGUACGAAAGAAGAAAAGAAGAGCGACAACAUAAGUGUACAGGAUGUUCAUAGUUGACAGUAUACUCGGUAAGAAGUAACCUGAUCACCAGGUGACCUACAAAUAAAUGAGCACAGCAGAAAUACAAAGUGUUUAAAUACUUACAUGUUCAUACAUUUCAUGUGCAGAUCUAUGAAAUAAAUUGUAAAGUCUGGAAGAAACUUG